This 462-nucleotide ribosomal RNA is filed under the name uncultured bacterium. RNAcentral's name for it is "partial 16S ribosomal RNA". It matches the Rfam family "Bacterial small subunit ribosomal RNA", at positions 28 to 507 of the family's 1533-position model. The record is from RNAcentral.
GACGAACGCUGGCGGCGUGCUUAACACAUGCAAGUCGAGCGGAAAGGCCCUUCGGGGUACUCGUGCGGCGAACGGGUGAGUAACACUUGCAUAACCUUCCCCCGCCCUUGGGAUAACCCUCGGAACCGGGGACUAAUACUGGUACCGACUAAGCUUCGCAUGUGGUCUGUGUGGAAAGUUCUUCGGUUGCGGAUGGGCUCGGGGCCUAACAGCUUGGUGGUGGGGUGGUGGUCUUCCAAGGCCACGGCGGGUAGCCGGCCCGGGGGGGGGACCGGCCACAUUGGGACCGAGAAACGGGCCCGACUUCUACGGGAGGGAGGAGGGGGGAAUAAUGCACAAUGGGGGGAAGCCUGAAGGAGCAAAGCCGGGGGGGGGAUGGCGGCCUUUGGGGUGUAAAACGCUUUCGACUGGGAAGAAGGGUUAGUGACGGUUACGGGCAGAGAAGGCCCGGCUAACUACGUG